GUAAUGUAUGGGGAUCUGCCCGAUAGAGGGGGAUAACUACUGGAAACGGUGGCUAAUACCGCAUAAUGUCUACGGACCAAAGCAGGGGCUCUUCGGACCUUGCACUAUCGGAUGAACCCAUAUGGGAUUAGCUAGUAGGUGGGGUAAAGGCUCACCUAGGCGACGAUCUCUAGCUGGUCUGAGAGGAUGAUCAGCCACACUGGGACUGGGACACGGCCCAG
RNAcentral lists this ribosomal RNA (221 nucleotides) under uncultured bacterium. Its description in RNAcentral is "partial 16S ribosomal RNA". It matches the Rfam family "Bacterial small subunit ribosomal RNA", at positions 110 to 334 of the family's 1533-position model. The record is from RNAcentral.